This is a long non-coding RNA of Catharus ustulatus (Swainson's thrush), 4269 nucleotides long. RefSeq lists it as uncharacterized. NCBI's taxonomy places the organism in Eukaryota, Metazoa, Chordata, Aves, Passeriformes, Turdidae. The transcript has 6 exons. The record is from RefSeq and is a predicted model, not a curated record.
CUGCCCACGCCGUGUCCGCCCGAGCGCGCCCCGCCGCGCAGAACGCGGCGCUCGCUGUCCUGCGGCCGCCAGGAGCGACCUGUCCUGAGCGUGGCAUGGGCGAAAUCCCCUUGGCUCGGGCGGCGGCGCCCGGAACCAGCGAGCGGUGGCUGCAGCCAUCCUUUUCCCCAUGGGAGUCCUGGAAAGAGCACUGAGCAAUGAGGAUACUGCAGCUGGAGCGCUGGCAAUGGAGCGUCUGCAGGGAAUAUUGCCUGGGACAGCGUCUUAGCCCAGGUCUCGGGAGCUGUGUGCACAUUCCUCCCUGGAGCAGGGAACCCCCGUGAGGAGGAGCCAGAGAUGGGGACAUCGAACUAGAGACCAACUGAACUUCCUGGGAUAGCACAUAGAUGGUGCACUGGGACCUUGGGGUUCAUAGUAAGCAUUGCCAGAUGAUUCUGGGAGGUUGAACUGAAGUGAUCUCCUGACUGAGAGCUGCAUCUCCCCUUGCUGCUGGCAGAAGAGGCAGAGCUGGGACAGCACAGCUCCUCCAUUCCCUGAUUCUCCAAAAUCCCGUGUUUUUCUUCCCGGGACUGCUGCAGGCGUUGAUCCUGUGAGCUGCAGAUAAAGGCUGUGCUUAUUGCUGCACAGAGGCUGGUGUCACACUGGACCUGGUCCUUCAUCUGGGACGUUUUACUGAGGAUGUUGUUACAAGGGAAAUGGCCCUUUGUGCAGGAGGUUCUGCUGUGGCCCUUGUACCGGGACCUGAUACUUUAUAUGCUAUGUGCUACCGAGGAUGUUACAAACCUCUGAGCUUUCGUGUGGGAAGUUUUAUGGAAGAUGUUGUUACAAGCUAAAUGCUCCUUCAUGUGUGAAGUUUUGCUUCCUUGUCAAAAAGCCUUGGGAAUGCUCAGGAACACAGUGUGGGAUAUUUGACCUCUGAAAUGGGUCCUGGGUGGUGUAAAAUACCCAUUUUUUACUGGUUUGUGGUUUUUCUGCCCCUGGAGGAGAGUGAGGCUUAUGAGUCAGGUUGGUGUCUGAGAAGGGGAGGGUGUCCUGGCUUCCAGCAGUACUCCCACGGCUGCUGCUUUGGGAUGUGAUAUGGAACCCAGCAAUCUUCCUGCUCUGCAAACAUGGGAGGGAGUGGAACAGCAAGCAGCAAAGCUGGGCUUUGCUCCUUAAAUCCCACAACACCUGGGUUUAAGUUCUGUCAGCCAGAGGAGGGAAUGAACCCUGGUACCAGCAAUCCUGGGGGCACGGGACUGGUGUUACCAUCUUAUCUAUUGUCAUUGCAUGAUGUGAUUCUCCCUCCAUGAGAGAAGGCAGAAAACGAGCCAGGAGGGGAGAUGGUUUUGUUUCUGUGAACUCCAGACUUGGCGCAGCUGCAGAGUGCUUUGGUUUCAAAUAAUCCUGCCCAAACACAGUGAACUUGGACCUCUCUUGGGCACUUUUGGAUCCCUCUGUGCCACUCCUCCUCUGAUCCUUGGCCUACAAGGUGUGGGCUCAACACCUGCUCCUACUGGAAGGGUUCUUACACAUACAAAUUUAUUUUGUUAUAGAAUGAAAAUCUAUGGAAAAUGGGUGAUGGGUGCACUAGCCGAUAGUAGGUCUUGGGCUUUUCUUCUUGUUCUUCAACCUGCUCUUAAAAGGACACUUAAACUGGAAACUUGAGAAGGAGGGCGGGCAAAUAGCUUUUCAUGUUUUUAAGUAUUACUAUUUUGGUAUGUCAAGUGACACCACCAAAAUAAGAUUGGAGGAACUGAGCUGAAGGACUCCACACUUAAUUCUUUUAAUGUGUUUGUGUGGAAAUGCCAAAUCUCAAAACACUUCUGUGUCUGUAACAUUAAGUGCUAUCAAGCCAAGUGUUCGAUGUGGAGUUUACAAUAAUGGUUUUAUGAUUUAAAGGCUUUUCUCGUGCCCCAAAAGCCACAAGGAACCUGCCAGAAGUAGGCCUUCAUUGCAUAGCUGGGAUUGCAAUUUGCUCCUGGAUUCUUCCCUCAAAUUUUCUCUCAGGUUCCUGUGCCAGAGGGGGCUCUGACCCCAGAGCCAUACAGGGUCUGUAGUCUUGAUAAAUGUAAAUGUAAUUGGCCAAGUCUGUCAGGAAAGCAAAAACAUCCUGGGGUUUGUUUGGCCAAAGAUGGACCAUGAAGAUGUCUGCACUAGCAGUGGGGGUGAGUGCUGAUCCUUUUUGGGUUGUGUGUGGGUGCCUCUGGCCCCUCAGAAGUCAGGGCAAGGCUGAAGGAAGGAGGGAAGCUGCCACAGCUGCAGGUGAGGGCAGUAUUGGCUGUUCCAAACUACUUGGUGCAGAACUGCAAGAACAGCAAAAACAGCUUUCCUCCUUUCUCUCCAUCACUGGGCAGAAUAUUAAGAUGAAGCUGCACUUAGCUCUGUCUUUUAUGGGUUGUUCUGUGGUGGUUGGGGUUUUUUUUGCUUUUUAAUGUAUUUCCAAGUGGGGCAGUGAGGAGCAAGUUUCUGAUUCCAUGAUUUCUGACUGACCUGUCACAGAAAUGGUCAUGUGCAUCCACUUCCUGGCAAAUCCAGAUGUCACCUGGAAAUCCUAAGUGAGGAUUUCCAGCCUUGACUACAUGGGACACAGGCUUCUGAAAAUGGAACUAACCUUGGCAGAAGAGCAGCUGUAAAGGGAAGCAGAACAAAAACACAGGGAGAAGAACACAAACUCACAGCCAUACAGGCCUCACAGUCCCCUGCAGUGAGAGCUCAGCACACAUCCACAGAGACAAGUCCAGCAUCUGAAAGAAAACAAAGCAGAAGAAAAAGAGCUGCCCUUGAACACCAGCUGUGCCAGGAACCGGCAGAGAUUCCAAGGAAGCUCAGCAGAAUCUGGACAGGGACAGGUGAAUAUUCCAAAGAGUUUAUUGUUUAAAACCCUCAUCCCCCAGCCCCACCCAUGUCCCUGGGGGCACUGGACAGAGUUGCCUGGAAUUCAGCUGAUUCAACCCCCUGAGCAAGGGCUCCAGGUGAUGUUUUCAAGCAGGAGAAGGCAGGGGCUGGAGGCACUCCCGGCCCAUUCCAGGGCAGCCCAAUGCAGAAGUUCAGUUCCUUUCAGGGCCUCAGCAGUGACCUCUGCAAGUUCUUUUCCCUCAGGAAAGGGGUGCACAUCCCUGCCUUCAGCACACCCCCAGUGGGACCCACCUGCAAAAGCUUUCCAUCCCUUCUGCACUUCCAGCUGGCUCCCUGGAAAACUCUCACCUUCACCCAAACAAAACUUCAUCCCACCCACACCUUUGAUUUUCGGGCAUCUCUGCAGGCUGCUGCUUGGGAUUUAGUAUCUCUAACAGAAGAUUGCCUUGGCUUUAAUGCUGCUGCUGGGUGAUGGCCUCAGGCUGGAAGGGAAGGGAUUUGGGGUGGCCAGGACAUACCUGGCAGCUGCGUGGGAGCUCUGGAAAGUCAGAACCAGGAAUUGCUGCCUGAGCCCCUCUGCAGGCAGCCUGUGCUGCCAUCACCAGGGAAUUCCAGCUGUUCUUUGGGGUGUUCUUAGGGUGUCCCUGGCUUCUGUCCAGGCUGAAGCAUCUCCAGGUGCAUGUUCAGAGCAGCCCCUGGCCCAGCAGCCGCAGGCAGCCCUUGAGCUGUGUCCGUGCCAGCGCUGCCCGGGCACCCCAGCGCCCAUCCCUGGGGUGUGUUUGGCACAGGCAGGACACCGCAGAGCCCAAGGACAAGAGGUGCUGGUUGCCUUCCAGGGGCUCCCGGCCUCCUCCUACCCCACAUUCCCUGCCAGCUGAGACACACAAACACCAAGGAACAUUGCUGCCAGAGAGCAAGGGACACUGAGAGGCCUUUGUGCAGCUCUGGGCCACAAAAGCAGCCCCAGCUUCAGCAGCUACCAUCAUUUUAGCAACACUCACCUGCAGGAAAUGCCCCCUGCCACUCUCCAGGAGAAUUUUGGUCAUGCAGCAAGGACAGCCUCAGGACCUGUCCUGCUCAUUUCUUCCUGAAAAAAAAAAACCCAAAAACAUUGCAAGAGCAAAUUUACAACUGCUGGGUAUAUCCUGGAAGGGAGAGGAAAAUCAGGGUUAUGGGAAGAGUUUGGUGCUGUUGUGUUGGCUGCCAGCCAGUUCUACCUUACAGCCGUAGCAGGGGCUGGUGUGUAAAGCAGCUUCAGCAGAAAAGAAGGAGCUGCAGUUCCUUUGCUGGUGCUCAGGAUUCUCCUCCUUGCGAGGUGCAUACUUGUGACCCAGAGAUUGGUUUGGUCGAUUGGACCCCAAUAGAUCCUGUGAUCUGAAAAUAAAGAAGAAAACUCUCAGCUGAGUUUCAAUAAACGAGGUUUUGCCCUUA